UACGUAGGCAGCGAGCGUUGUUCGGAGUUACUGGGCGUAAAGGGUGUGUAGGCGGUCCCUUAAGUUUGGUGUGAAAUCUCCCGGCUCAACUGGGAGGGUGCGCCGGAUACUGAGGGGCUAGAGUGCGGGAGGGGAAAGUGGAAUUCCUGGUGUAGCGGUGAAAUGCGUAGAUAUCAUGAGGAAGACCAGUGGCGAAGGCGGAUCUCUGGACAGUUCCUGACACUGAGGCACGAAGGCCAGGGGAGCGAACGGG
This 253-nucleotide ribosomal RNA is filed under the name uncultured bacterium. RNAcentral's name for it is "partial 16S ribosomal RNA". It matches the Rfam family "Bacterial small subunit ribosomal RNA", at positions 524 to 776 of the family's 1533-position model. The record is from RNAcentral.